AAGCUCCUUUUCUCAGGGAAGAACAAUGACGGUACCUGAGGAAUAAGUCUCGGCUAACUACGUGCCAGCAGCCGCGGUAAUACGUAGGAGGCAAGCGUUAUCCGGAUUUAUUGGGCGUAAAGCGCGUGUAGGUGGCUCUUCAAGUCGGAUGAAAAAUCUCCCGGCUCAACUGGGAGGGACCAUUCGAUACUGCUGGGCUAGAGUGCAGCAGAGGGAGGUGGAAUUCCCGGUGUAGUGGUGAAAUGCGUAGAUAUCGGGGGGAACACCAGUGGCGAAGGCGACAACUGACACUGAGACGCGAAAGCGUGGGGAGCGAACAGGAUUAGAUACCCCAGUAGUCCAAGCCG
This 347-nucleotide ribosomal RNA is filed under the name uncultured bacterium. RNAcentral's name for it is "bacterial SSU rRNA". It matches the Rfam family "Bacterial small subunit ribosomal RNA", at positions 427 to 802 of the family's 1533-position model. The record is from RNAcentral.